RNA transcript from Nycticebus coucang (slow loris), 516 nucleotides. It is a transcript of the gene named thioredoxin domain-containing protein 17-like, with no coding region annotated. The record is from RefSeq and is a predicted model, not a curated record. The transcript has a single exon. NCBI's taxonomy places the organism in Eukaryota, Metazoa, Chordata, Mammalia, Primates, Lorisidae.
GCCCCGCGACCGCCAGCUGGACCAGAUGAUUACUCUCGCAGUCCCCUGUACACUGUUCAGAUGGCCCAAUACGAGGAGGUGAACAUGUCCGGCUUUGAGGAAUUCAACCAGGCUGUCGAGGAGCACAAUGGGAAGACCAUUUUUGCCUACUUUACUGGUUCUAAGGACGCCGAAGGGAAAAGCUGGUGUCCCGACUGCGUGUAGGCUGAACCAGUCGUUCGAGAGGGGCUGAAGCAUAUUAGUGAAAGAUGUGUGUUCAUCUAUUGUCAAGUAGGAGAAAAACCAUAUUGGAAAGAUCCAAACAAUGACUUUAGGAAAAAACUGAAAGUAACUGCAGUGCCUACACUACUUAAAUAUGGAACACCUCAAAAACUGGUAGAAUCUGAGUGUUUUCAAGCCAGCCUCGUGGAGAUGUUGUUCUCUGAAGAUUAAGAUUUAAUGAUGGCAAUCAUGUUUUGAUUUGUGCUAGUAUUAAAAUGCACACUUCCUUUGAAUUCAUGUUAGCUAUAAAUAUGU